RNAcentral lists this long non-coding RNA (23907 nucleotides) under Fragaria vesca (wild strawberry). RNAcentral describes it as "long non-coding RNA (FVES_LNC001243)". Lineage: Eukaryota; Viridiplantae; Streptophyta; Magnoliopsida; Rosales; Rosaceae. The record is from RNAcentral.
GUCAUAAGCUCUUAACUCGCAACAUUAACAACAACAACAACACUUAAAACAUCCCAAGGUUAUCAGAGCAACUACUAGGAAAGAAGAAAAUACAUAGGUAGGUUAACUAGUAACCUAUGAGAGAAAACUGAAUGAGGUGGGAAAUAUGACUCGCCUCCUACCCUCGCCGAACAGAACUCUGCAGACUGGGCAUUUAAAACGAAAGGCCCAGGGGAAAGCAUUUAAAAUGUUAGAGUGAGUGGACAAAAUAAAUAAUAAAAAUACGGACUUAAUGAUAGAGCAUUGAACUCAAUUUAACGCUUUUCCCAUAUUUUCCAUUGAGAAAAUAUUUAUUUUAUGCAUGCCAUUCUUGGAAAUCUUUCCGAAAAUAAUUAUAGACAAAACUAAUGAACCAAUCCCAUUGGUUCCCAAUAAAUCAAUAAAAAUAGGGAAAAUGUUUCACCAUAACAAUGAGCCUCCCAGGCUAUAAUAGCGUCCCACGCUAAGCGCUCUACUCACAUAUGAUGAGGACCGCUUAAAAAGUUAUAAUAGCGUCCUACGCUAAGCGCUCAACUCUCAUAUGAUGAGGACCGCUAAAUAAUGGCUAGCUAACAAUAAAUAUAUAUAUAUAUACCGAUCGGUUCCCUCCCAGGCUAUAAUAGCGUCCCACGCUAAGCGCUCUACUCACAUAUGAUGAGAACCGCUAAUAAGACUAUAAUAGCGACUCACAUAUGAUGAGGACCGCUAAUAAGGUUAGCUAGCAAUAAUAUAUAUAUCAACCCUUUUAUGGUGAAGUACAAUAUUAAAAUACAAAGAUCCACACUUCCCCAAAUAAAUUAUAAUAAACUCAUAGCGCACAGUACAGUUCCCAACUGUACAUGGAAAUAAUAUAAAACACUUGACACGUCCCACGUGUCAACUAAAAUUAGCAAGAGAGUUCCGGAAAAAAAAUAAGUGGAACUCGAUAAUCCAACAAAUUAUUAUAUCUCCAAAUGUCUUUGAAAUUAAAUAACUUUAGCGCAUGCAUGAUAUUAAAAUCAAAGGUCCACUCACCGUGCUAGGCUAUGCUUGCCGACGGCCCGAGGCUUCCUCCAAAUGAUCCUCCUCACGUCCUGAACAAUAAAUAAUCAUUAAGCCUCCAAACCAGGACAAAACUUUAAUAAAAUUCCCGAAAUAAAAAGGAAGCCUAUAAUUUCAUUUCUCUUGCCCAACUUCUCCACAUUUUACCUAAUAAGGUUCACAUUACUCCGCACUUACCGAAAGCCAUAAUUUAACCUUUUUUAGACUUUAAAACCUGCUAAACCAACUGCCGGAUUUCCAUUCGAAUAACCGCCUAAAUCCUUAAUCAUAGAUAAAUCCUAAACCUUAUCAAAUCUCCUCCAAAACUUCCAAACUAUACUUCAUUAAACUCCUCUCAUUAAAACAAACCCAAAAAGCAUGAAAAACUGCCCCUAAGGGGCGGCGGCGGCGGCGGCCGGCAGCCGUUUUCCGGCGACCUCCAAUGCUUCUCAAAUUUUCACAGAAUAUUCCUCUCAUCAUGCUCAACAACAUUCAUAACUAGCACUUAGUCCAUGUCUAAGGCUAACUAGGGCCAAUGAAUCAAAACUUCCAUAAAUCCCUAAAAACUUCAAUUAUACAUUUCUACCAUAAUAACAACGAAAUAGAUUAAUCCUUUUGAGGGAAUACUCACCUUGAUGAGGGCUACAAGAUGAGCCAAAGAUUCCGACCUAUGGUGGCCGGAGGUAGGAUUUCUGGCAAAAAGCUUCCCGGCGUCUCCGGCGAGUUUUCUCCUCUUCCGGCGGGCUAACGACUCGGGGGCUAGGCCGGGGAGAGAGAGGAGGUGAUGGGGGUCAAAACUGGGGUGGGCUGGCAGCUGGUGGCUGGCCGGAGGGUGGCAGACCACGCUGGAAAAGUCCAGCAGAAAAGAGAGCUAGGGAACUCACGGGAGAAAAGAGAGAGAAGGAAGAGGAGAAGAAAGAAAAUGAGGGGGGGUCUUGGGCUGCUCCUCAGCUGGCCCAGCAAUAACCCAACUGAAAAAAAUUUACACCCACUACAUUUUUUUUACCACAUUUUUACCAUCUCCAAAAAUUACUCUUUUAAAUCAUAACUUUUUCAUGCUAAUUCCGAUUUUAACACAUAGCAUGUCUACGAACUCGUAAUAACGUCCUCUACGACUUUUAUGAAGAAAGUUUUCCCAAAUUCCAAACACAAGAAAAAGACAACUCUAGGGUCCUUAAGUGAUAAACGGUUACUUAACACGGUAAAAGACCAAAAUAAUACCAAAGUAAAUAACCGUAAAAUAACUUAAGAACCGGGGUGUGACAAUUCUCCCUUCCUUAUAAAAAUUUCGUCCUCGAAAUUUACAUACCUGUCAAUCAAAGAGAUAAGGAUACUGCUGCCUCAUUAACUCCUCCGGUUCCCAAGUGGCUUCCUCUAUUUGAUGACUCCUCCACAAAACUUUAACCAAUGGAAUCGUUUUGUUCCUAAGCACUUGCUCCUUUCGAUCAAGAAUCUGAACCGGUUCCUCUACAUAUGACAAAUCUUUCUUCAACUAUCGUUGCUCUUACAAGACAUGAGAGGGAUCNNNNNNNNNNNNNNNNNNNNAAAUACAUACGAAUAUAUGUUUAUAUAUAGUUUAGCCUGAGAGGCUCCAUUUUAUUUGAGUUGGUGACUAGCCGGAGCUAGUCGUGAAAUUGCCAGUUUAUGAGUUGAGCGCUUUUGAGCUGGCGCAUGCAGUAUUUUUCUUUGGAAAUUAAAAUGGGGAAGCAUAAAUAUUUUUAUUAAUUUAUUUUUGUCCACUCACUCUAACGUUGUUAAGUGUUUUGCCCUGGGCCUUUCGUUUUAAAAAUGCCCAGCUUGCAGGUUAGCUUAGUUGAGGUCGGGCGUACAUGGAGAUGAGGCGUAAUCAUUAUAUAGCUUCCGCUUGUUAAUUUAUUUUGUUUCCUUUCUUCAUGUUAGAGUUGCUUUGAACCUAUAAAUGGUUGGAUAUGAGAUUUGUUUAGAUUAGUAAAUUUUGGGUGGUGUUGUGAUUUGGGGAGCACGAAGCUCUAGGAGUAGAGGAUUAUAAAUGGAUUCUUUUGAAGUGUAUGCAGGUAUUAUUAGGAAGGGUUGUCCAUUUUCAAGGGAGGUUAUGCUGAUUUUUCGGUAAAUUUUCCUUGGAGGUGGUCCCCAUAGGAUUUACUUCAGGUUUCAGGGUGAAAUUCGGGGUGGAUUCUCACAACCAUAGCUUGUGAUUUUUAGCUCAUCUUGUAGCUCUCAUCAUGGUUAGUGAUUCCUCAAAAGGAAUCGACAUAAUUCGAUCUUGGUAAGGAGAGAUGUUUAAUUGAAGUUCUAGAGAUUUAUGGAUGUUUUGGUUCGAUUACCCUAGUUAGCCUUAGAAUUAGACUAGGUGCUAGUUAUAAAAGUUGUUGUGCAUGAUGAGAGGAUUAUUCUGUUAAUAUUUGAGAGGCAAUGGUCAUCGCCGGAGUUCGGUUGCCGACCGCCGCUGCAGGCGGAGAAGGCUGCCGGCGCUGCCGCUUAGAGGUUGUUUUGCAUGUUUUCGGGUUUGUUAUAAUGAGAGGAGUUUAAUGAAGUAUAGUUUGGAAUUUUUAGAGGAGUUUUGAUAAGGUUUGGGAUUUAUCAAUGAUUAAGUAUUUAGGCUGUUGUUUGAAUAGAAAUCUGACAGUUGGUUUAGCAGGAUUUAAACUUCAAAAAGGUUAAUUUUUGGCUAUCGGUAAGUGUGGAGUAGUGUGAGCCUUAUUAGAUUAAAAAUGGAGAAGUUGGGCAAAAGAGAUGAAAUUAUAGGCUUCCUUUUAUUUCGAAAUAUUAUAAAAACAUUAUCCUAGUCUGGAAGCUUAAUAAUUAUUUAAUGUUCAGGACGUGAGGAGAAUCAUUUGGAGGAAGCCUCGGGUCGUCGGCAAACAUAGCCGAGCACUGUAAGUGGACCUUUGAUUUGAAUGCCAUGCAUGCAUUAAAGUUUAUUUAAUUUUCAAAGGCAUUUUGGAGAUUUAUUAUUUUCUGGGAUUAAUGAGUUCCAUUUAUUUUUCGGGAACUCUCUUGAGCAUUUUAUUUGACAUGUGGGACAUGUCAAGUGAUUUAUAUUAUUACGCAAUAUUUCUAGGUACAGUUGGGGACUGUACUAAGCUCAAUGGAUUUUAUAUUAUUUUUGGGGAAGUGAUAUUUUUGAUCAUUUAUUAUUAUACUUCACCAUAAAACGGUUGAUUUAUAUUGAUUAUUGCUAGCUAACCUUAUUAGCAAUCCUCAUCAUAUGUGAGUCGCUAUUGUAGCCUUAUUAGCGGUUUUCUUCAUAUGUGAGUAGAGCGCAUAGCGUGAGACGCUAUUAUAGCCUGGGAGGCAACCGAUCGGUAUUUAUAUUUAUAUGUUAGCUAGCCAUUAUUAGCGACUACUCACCAUAGGUGAGUAAAGCGCUUAGCGUGAGAUGCUAUUAUAGCCUAGGAGGCUCCGACCUUAGCUUGGGAGGCUCAUCGUUAUGGUGAAACCUCUUCCCCAUUUUUAUUGAUUUAUUGGGAACCAAUGGGAUUGGUUCAUUCUUUUGUCUCUAUAUAUUUUCGGAAAAAUUUCCAUGUCAGGACCUACCCCGGAUUUCCCCUUGAAAUCCGGAAUAAACUCUGCGGGACCCACCUCAAGGGAAAUUCUACCAAAAUUUUGGCAUAACUUUUUUGAAAAUGAGUAACCCUGCCUAGAAGAAAAAAAUCACCAAAAAAAUUACUCUUUUAAAUCAUAACUUUUUCAUGCUAAUUCCGAUUUUAACACAUAGCAUGUCUACGAACUCGUAAUAACGUCCUCUACGACUUUUAUGAAGAAAGUUUUCCCAAAUUCCAAACACAAGAAAAAGUCAACUCUAGGGUCCUUAAGUGAUAAACGGUUACUUAACACGGUAAAAGACCAAAAUAAUACCAAAGUAAAUAACCGUAAAAUAACUUAAGAACCGGGGUGUGACAAUUCUCCCCUCCUUAUAAAAAUUUCGUCCUCGAAAUUUACAUACCUGUCAAUCAAAGAGAUAAGGAUACUGCUGCCUCAUUAACUCCUCCGGUUCCCAAGUGACUUCCUCUAUUUGAUGACUCCUCCACAAAACUUUAACCAAUGGAAUCGUUUUGUUCCUAAGCACUUACUCCUUUCGAUCAAGAAUCUGAACCGGUUCCUCUACAUAUGACAAAUCUUUCUUCAAACUUAUCGGCUGCUCUUGUAAGACAUGAGAGGGAUCGGCAAUAUACUUGCGUAGCAUGGAUACAUGGAAAACAUUAUGUAUCCGGGACAGCUCUGAAGGUAGCUCCAAUCGAUAAGCAACUGUGCCAACCCGCUCUACAAUCUCAUAAGGACCAAUAUACCGUGGGCUAAGCUUUCCCCGUUUACCAAAACGCACUACUCCCUUCCAAGGGGAUAAUUUCAAAAAUACCCAAUCACCCACUUGAAACUCAAGGUCCUUUCUGCGAUUAUCUGCAUAACUCUUCUGCCUAUUUUGAGCUGCUUUAAGCCUUUCUCUAAUCAUCUUGAUCUUCUCAUUCGUAUCCUGAAUAAUCUCUGGACCACAAAAUUCUUUUUCUCCCACCUCAUUCCAACAUAGAGGUGUACGACACUGCCGCCCAUAAAGCGCUUCAAAGGGAGUCAUACCUAUGUUAGAAUGAAAACUAUUGUUGUAGGCAAAUUCUACCAAGGACAAAUUCUUAUCCCAACUCCCUCUGAAUUGCAUAGCACAUGACCUCAACAUGUCCUCCAUGGUCUGAAUAGUCCUCUCAGACUGCCCGUCUGUUUGUGGAUGAAAAGCUGUGCUGAAGUGCAACCGAGUGCCCAAAGCUGCCUGCAAAGCUCCCCAGAAUUUAGAAACAAAUCUGGGAUCCCGAUCAGAAACAAUAGACUCAGGCACACCAUGGAGUCUCACAAUUUCAUUCACAUAAAGUUCUGCCAAUUUAGCCAACUUAUACUUCUUCCCCACUGGCAGAAAAUGUGCUGACUUGUUAAUCGAUCCACAAUCACCCAAAUACCAUCAUGCCCAUCACGUGUACGAGGUAAGCUAAAAACAAAAUCCAUGGCAAUGUGGUUCCACUUCCAUAUAGGAAUAGGCAAUGGCUCUAGCAGACCAGAAGGUUUCUGUCUCUCAGCUUUGACUUGCUGACAAAUCAAACACUUACUUACAUAAGCGGCAAUCUCCCUUUUCAUAUUGGGCCACCAAUAAAAAUCCUUUAAGGUCCUGUACAUUUUUGUACUACCAGGAUGAGCAGCAUAAGCAGAACUAUGAGCUUCCUCCAUUAUCUCCUGUUUCAACUCUAUGUUCCUCUUCGGAACACAUAGCCUAUUUUUAAACAACAAGGCUCCAUCUCUCCUCACAGAAAAAUCCCUUGCCAUUCCAUUAAGUGCUCUUUCUAUCAACCGAACUAUGGAAGGAUCAUUAUACUGAGCCUCAUGCACUUUAUCAAUCAAAACUGGCCUCACAUGGAAACUGGCUACCAAAGCACCAAUCUCAUCCACUGACAACUCCACUCUUGUAGCUCGCAACUCAUAAAGAAGUGGAACCCGAACCGUCCUCAUAUAAGCUAAGGACAUAGAAGGGUUGCGACUAAGAGCAUCCGCUACUACAUUAGCUUUUCCAGGAUGAUACUCAAUAGUGCAAUCAGAAUCUUUAAUCAACUCCAUCCACCUUCUUUGCCUCAUAUUUAAUUCUCUCUGAGUGAACACAUACCGAAGGCUCUUAUGGUCGGUGAAGAUCUGGCACUUGGCUCCAUAGAGAUAAUGUCUCCAUAAUUUCAACGCAAGAACCACUACAGCAAGCUCUAGGUCGUGGGUGGGGUAAUUCCCUUCAUGCGGCUUCAGUUGCCUAGAAGCAUAAGCAAUUACUCUUUCAUGCUGCAUCAAUACACCACCCAAACCCUGCCUAGAAGCAUCGCAAUAAACCACAUACUCCCCACUAUCAUCAGGGAGUGCUAGAACUGGAGCACUAGUUAAACGAUCCUUGAGCUCCUGAAAGCUCUGCUCACACUUCUCGGACCACUCGAACUUAACCCCCUUCCGGGUCAAUCUUGUAAGAGGAGCGGCAAUCUUUGAGAAAUCUUGGACAAAACGGCGAUAAUAACCGGCCAACCCCAAGAAACUACGGAUCUCCGUCACGCUAGAAGGCCUCUUCCAAUUUGUCACCGCUUCUAUCUUUUGGGGAUCCACACUAACACCUUCUGCCAAAACCAUAUGGCCUAGAAACCCCACUUUAUCUAACCAAAACUCACAUUUACUAAGCUUUGCAUAUAACUGAGCUUCCCUCAAAGUCUGCAAUACCAUCUUUAAAUGCUUAGCAUGCUGCUUCAAAUUCUUCGAAUACACCAAGAUGUCAUCUAUGAAUACAAUCACGAAAUGGUCAAGAUAUGGACGGAACACCCUAUUCAUGAGAUCCAUGAAAGCAGCGGGUGCAUUAGUAAGUCCAAACGGAAUCACCACAAACUCAUAAUGACCAUAACGUGAUCGAAAAGCAGUCUUGGCUAUAUCACUUUCCCGAAUCCGCAACUGAUGAUAUCUUGAUCUCAAAUCAAUCUUUGAAAAGACUGUGGCACCCCUCAACUGAUCGAAUAAAUCAUCAAUGCGGGGCAAAGGAUAUUUAUUCUUCACCGUAACCUGGUUCAACUUCCUAUAAUCCACACAUAGCCUCAUGGUGCCAUCUUUCUUCUUGACAAAUAACACUGGAGCACCCCAAGGACACAUACUAGGCUGAAUAAAACCUUUAUCCACCAACUCCUGCAAUUGAGUUUUUAACUCUUUUAAUUCUGCAGGUGCCAUCCUAUAAGGCGCUUGAGAAAUAGGAGUCGUUCCAGGAAGUAGCUCAAUUGUAAAAUCUAUCUCCCUUACAGGAGGCAAACCAGGCAACUCAUCUGGAAAAACAUCAGGGAACUCAUUAACUAUAGCAUGUCUACGAACUCGUAAUAACGUCCUCUACGACUUUUAUGAAGAAAGUUUUCCCAAAUUCCAAACACAAGAAAAAGUCAACUCUAGGGUCCUUAAGUGAUAAACGGUUACUUAACACGGUAAAAGACCAAAAUAAUACCAAAGUAAAUAACCGUAAAAUAACUUAAGAACCGGGGUGUGACAUUCCAAGAGUGGCAUGCAUAAAUAUUUUUCUCAAUGGAAAAUAUGGGAAAAGCAUUAAUUUUGAUUUUAAGGCUCUAUCAUUAAGUCAGUAUUUUUUUAUUUAUUUUUUUCCACUCAUGCUAACGUUUUAAAUGCUUCUCCCAUGAGCCUUUUGUUUUGAAAUGCCCAGUCUACAGAGUUCGGUCAGGCGUGUAGGAGGCGAGUCAUAUUUUCCAUCACUUCCAGUUUUCAUUCGUAGGUUACCUGUUUAACCUACUUGUGUAUUUUCUGGUUUCCUAGUAGUUUCUCUGAUAACCAUGGGAUGUCUUAAAUGAAUUUAUGUUGAUGUGUGUUAAGAGCUUAUGACUCCACUGAGUGAUGGAAAAGAUUAAUUCAUUUGGUUUGUUUGUAUGAGAACUUAAAUUCAUAAAAUUAUUUUGAAUUUUUACUUCUGUUGAGGUGGGGGAUGUUUAUUUGGGGAGCGGGUGGCUCCAGGAGAUGUGGAUUAAAUUGUUUUAGAAGUGUUUGGGUUUAUGGUGAUUUUCUUUCAGGUAGGGUCACUCAAUUUUAAGGGAGGUUAUGCCAAAAUUUUAAUAGAAUUUCCCUUGAGGUGGGUCCCGCAGGGUUUAUUCCGGAUUUCAAGGGGAAAUUCGGAGUAGGUCCUGACAAAAAUCCGGCCGGAAAUCGGGAAAAACGAAACGGGCAGAUUAGGGUUUCGAGAAAAGUUUAGGUUUUCGAAGGUUUUAAGGUUUUUCAGGAUGGUUGGUCUAUUAUCUCAUGGUUAGGGCACCAAGUGCUGAUAACAUGAUGAAGAGUAUGUGAAUACGAGAAUAAAUGUCUAUUCAUCUCAUUGAUAUCAUGGCCUUUAUAUAGGCAUUACAUAGAGAAUCCCUGUAAAUCAGGGUUUGAUAUCUAGCAAAUAUUCUAGUCUAAUAAGGAGAAUAUUUGGUCAAGACACAUCAUCAAUGAUAGGAAUGUAAAUUCCUUCAACAAUAUAUAUAUAUAUAUAGUGGCUUUUGCUUCCUUAUUUUUGAAUUAAAUUUUAGUCAAAUUAGCUAAUAUGUCAUUUUGGCUAGCCAUUUUAGAAAUACAUCUACAUCAAUGCUCUCUAUUUUACCCAUAUAUAUGUAUGUGGCUUUUGCUUCCCUAUUUUUGAGUUAAAUUUUAUGUCAUUUUGGCUAGCCAUUUUAAAAAUAGGUCUACAUCAAUACUCUCUAUUUAAUCCAGCAUUACAUUAAUAUUAUUCUUCAAAUAAAGAUUAAAUAAUUUAAAUGUAUUUAUAUAAUACGUAAAAUAUUUUAAAAGGAAUGUAUUAAAUUAUAGCUUUCAUCAUCUGAGUCAUCUCGCUUUUUAUAUUUGGCUAGUGAGAUAGCUAAAAGUUAUAAUAUCUAUGCUUUGGCUAGUCUGCUGGCCGGAGCUCUUACAAUAUGUAAAUGGCCAGAGCUCUUAAAAUACGUAAAAAAACUAAACACGCUCCCUAAAAUAGUUAAAAGCCAAAAUAAAGAGUCUGCUAAAGAUGUUCUAAUGCAAAAUAAUAAUACCUAGCCAAAUUCCAAAACUCUCAAGGUGUUCUAGGAUAUUCCACAUGUUUGCCUUGGCCUUAUGCUAUCAGGAUAUGUAGUUUGAAUAGGACUAUGUAUUCUUUAUCAUUACCAUAUUGGUACUUUGUAAUUCCCUAUAUAAAGGGCUCAUAUCAAUGAAUAAGAUGAUGAUUCUCUAUUCUCUUACUAGAUCUCUUUGUCUUUACACUUUAUACUUCAUCACGUUAUCAUGCGCUUUGUUCUAACCCUAGAGCCAAUAACCCACCAUUUGUUUUUCGAAACCUUAAAAAAAGCGUUUUUCGGCUCCUAUGUCCGACCGCCACCGCCCGCCUAUUUUCCAGGCCACCAUCCGACAUCACCGGCUCCCAAUCCCUUGGCCGUUGCCCGCCGGCGAUUUUUGGUUUCCUCCGAGUACAAUUUUCGACUUCUUCAAGUGUUUGAAGUUUCAAAAUUUAUGUUUUGAAACCUUAAACUUUUCCAAGUUCUGUCGACACCCACCCCAAAUUUUACCCUAAAACUCGAAGUAAGUCCUACGGGGACCAUCUCCAAGGAAAAUUUUACCGAAAAAUCGGCAUAACCUCCCUUGAAAUAUGGACAACCCUUCCUAAUAAAAACUUGCAAACACUUCUAAAAAAUCCAAAUCCAAAUCCAAAUCCAAAUCCAAAUCCAAAUCCAACCUUAUACUUUUGGAGCCUUCGUGCUCCCCAAAUACGACCACCACCAAAAUGAUAAUAACAACAACUUCCAAAUCAACACAUAAAUAUCCAACUAAUAACAUACAUCAUCCUUUGGAUAUCUCCCAAAAUAAUAAACAAAGACUUAGCACACAACCAAACUAUUAUACAAUAAUCUCAAGGUAAUCAGAGCUACUAACACUAGCGGAAGCAAGAAAAUACUCUGGUAGGUUAAGCAGGUAACCUACUGGUGAAAAAUGGAAGAGAUGUGGGUGACUAUGCCUCGCCUCCUACUAGAACCAACCCGAACUCUACAGACUGGACAUUUUAAAACGAAGGGCCCAGGAGAAAACAUUUGAAACCAUUAGAGUGAGUGGACAAAAAUAAAUUAAUAAAUAAAUAUUUAUGCAUUCCCAUUUUAAUUUUCAUAGAAAUUAUGUUGCAUGCGACAGCUCAAAACUUUUUACUCACAAACUGGCAAAUACAUGACUAGCGCCGGCCAGUCUCCAAAACUCAAUAAAAUGGAGCCUCUCAGGCUAAACUAUAUAUAAAUAUAUAUGUGUAUGUAUUUACACUCGUCAGACUCCUUGUACGAAUUCUAUGAACAAAAUAGAAAAAUAGAAAUUCAUACAAGGCUACGACGCUUGCGUCUAACGCUCACGUCGCGCCAUCAUGGAAUUUUUCCUCAUUAUGACCGAAGAGGACGGGUGUAUAUACAUGUGGACUCCCUAAAUGAAAACCUAUAUGAACAAAAUAAGAAAGUAGUUUUCACACAGGGCUACGACGUUUGUGUCUAACACUCACGUCGCGCCAUAAUGAAAUUUUACCUCAUUAUGAUGGACCAAGCACGUAUGGCUAGCUAGCAUUUGUAUACAUACUAUCCUCAUAAACAUCCAAUAUACAUAUCCACUGAAAAUCUCAUUUUUUCGGUAACUCUCCAAAAGAUGAAAAUUUCCAAAUAUCAGAGAAAACAAUAAAUUUCAGUAGAAGAAUAACUAAUCAACAAUAUAAUGCAUCACAUGCUUUUCAUUAAAACAAAAGUCCACUCACAAAAUAGGCCUAAGCCUGAUGUCGAUCCGAGGCCUCUUCUGCUCGAGCCUUCUCACGUCUUGUUCCAAAUGUAUAAUUAAAUUCCCAACAGAAAUUCCAAUAUUUACACAAAAUAGGCAAAAUUAAAUGUGAGCCUUAACCACGCUCAUCAUUGCCUAACUUCGAAAUUUCUAAUUCAAAACGUUCCAAACUUCAAUACCAUAAUCGGCAACCUUAUUACAACCUUCCACAGAUUAAACAAUUUUAAUCCAACAGCCAGAUUCUAUCCUAAUUAACCACCAAAAUACCAAACUUUGAAAAAUCUCAAACCUAACUAAAACUCUUCCAAAAAUUCCAAACUUCACAUCAUUAAAACCAUAAAAAUCCCCUAAACAACGGUGGGCGGAGGCCGACUCCGGUGACCUCCAAUGUCUACCAAAUUUUAACAGCAUCUUCCUCUCAACUUACUCUACAACUUUCCUAACUAGCACAAACACCAAUUCCAAGCCUAAUUAGGCCAAUCGAACGAAAACAAUCUAAAAAAACCCUAGAACUUCCAACACUCGAAUCUCUUUACCUAGGCGAAGAGAGAGCGAAUCCUUUUGAGGGAUUGAUGCACGGGAGGAGAGCUUCUAAAAGAGCCAAGCAGCUCCAGCUAUGGCGGCCGGAGGAGGGAGCUCCGACGAGAGAAUCACCACGACAGUCGGACGUUACGGGCGAGCUAACUCCCUCACGGCGGAGCUAGGGCGGCUCCCACUGGUCUAGGAAGAACGCUAGGUCGAGGGCCGACUGAUUGGGACUGGUGCAGCAGUCUACGGUGGCCGGACGACAACGGACGAGCUCGAGAAGUGUCCGGCAGAGAGAGGGCUCGGGAGGAAAGAGAGAGAAAAAAGAAGAGAAGAAAAGAGAAGGAAGGAAUUGGGCCCAACCGGUCCCCUUAACCCAAUUAAAUACCAACCCAACUCCAAAAAUAACACCACAAAAUAAUACCCUAAUAAAAAUUACCUUUUACUAGCUAAAAUUUACCAUUUUUACCGUCGUCACAUUUUUCUUCUACGAAUAAUUUCUCCGAAAUAAUCGUCCCUCAAAACCGCUCUAGGGACCAUUUAAACUAAAACUCGUUGACAAAGACAGUAAAACUCUUGUUAAUACCAAGUUAGUAAAUAAGAUAAAAAUUUAAGAGUUGGGAUGUGACAAAUUCAAUAACUCGGGGAAGAUAAAAUUCUUUCCUCCGUUUUCCAUCUCCAUUCUAUGCUUGGGAUUUUGUGCGUGCACGUAAAAAUCCCGAAAUUUUAUUCGCAGGUAAAGAAUAUGUUUGAUCACUCUUGUUUCUUUGUCCGGGUUGUGUGUGAUCAACCCCGAUCUUUUUCCGGAUUGUGUGUGAUCAAUCCGUAGGACAAACCAUUAAAAGCAUCGUUUGUGACCUAUAUCGAGUCUCAUAACUGCUUGGUUUUGUAUGCAAGAGCAAUGUAACAUUCUGCUCAUUUGAGUUUUGACAUACUUAAUGUUUAAGGCGAAUCUUCGUUACGUAUCUGUGGAACCCUCAUUGGAAUAGAUUAAACCACAUCUCUCGCGCUCAAAGUUUUGAGGUGCCACAUCGACAUGCAACAGCCUUCAACGGUAAUCUGUGCAAAAAGUAAUGACCACAAAGUACUGUGGAAUGCACUUAUGGAGCGUUUCUUGAAACAUCCAUCUAACUCAACUUGUUGAGUUAUUAAGUCAAGUGGAUUGCUUACCACCUUAAUUGACUACAUAUCGUCGAUGAUAUUCUGUGGCAUCCUGAUCCAUAAUCUAUAGUGGAUUCGAUCAUCAUCAAGUUCUCUAGGCCCUCCAAGUUGGUUUGGAAUUACCAACGAGACUUGAUUUUGAUCAUACAAUUGCAAACGGGAAUUGUAUAUACGCUAAUGCGAUAAACGUAUAUGGGAUUGUCCCCUAAUAUGGGGACAACAAUAUGGGUCACGACAACGGCGGAAAAUGCCGUGCCGAUGUCCAGAAAAGAGGGGGGAGGUGUCGCCGGCCCUAAUGGCGACACUCCCGGUUUAGACACCAAUCUGUUAAAACAAUUCAUGCUAGCUCAUGACAAUGCAACCACUGUGGAUCUCCGGAUCACUGGUUCAAGAUUGUCAAAUUCAUCCUUAAAUCGUGAAUGCAUACAAAAAGGUACGGAAAAUCAAUAUGAGGACAAAAACGUCAUCCUCAUGAUCGCGGAUUUCAAAGAUUCGGAUCCUGCUCUGGCUACCCAUGAUUUUGACAUCAUUGGCUAGACAUUGAUUUUCUUUCCGAGCUAUAUGUAAUAAGACGUCGUAUCGAUGUUCUUUGUUUAUUCGAGACUAGCCACACUAGUGACCAACACUUUAACGAAGCUAGUAAAUAAGGUAAAAAUUUAAGGGUCGGGAUGUGACACUACAAGUAUUACACUAAUGUACAUGAGGACGUGGGAUAAUGAGUCUACUAUCGAACCACCCUUCGUUGAUGGAUAUCAACUUAGUUGAUUAGCCUAAUGGAAAGAUGCGAUCCAGCAUUAACAAAGAGAUAGGUCCUUGGGCAGGUGAUGUCGACACCGCAAGCUAAACCCUAUCAACUAUAUCUUUGUUAGAUAGCGUAGUGAGAACAAGAGCUUAGACUCAUCUUAUGGCGCAAGGUCUCUCACUAACACGCACUAGGAUCGACUACGAUGAGAUAUGCUCUCGUAAUGGAUGUCAUUGAACUCGACUAUUUUGUCAGUUUGGUAGUUUCCGAAUAACUGAACAUGCAACCUAUGAAUGUGGUCAUAAUAACAUCUCUAUGAGAUCAGAUAUAUACAUGAAGGUCUUAAACGAACUUCAUUUAUCCGAAUCAAGUGACUCCAGACCACAGGAGCACGCGUUUGCUAAAGGUAUUGAAACGCACAUGGACUUUACUUGAUUUGGAAGCGAUAUGGUGAAUUAUGUCUUUGCGUGUUCAUUCCGGAUUUACACGGACUCUUGAUGGAUCAAGAGUUGCCAAUAUGUAUCAACAUCCGAAGUUAGAAUGAAAAUGAUCUUGGGAAAACACUGUCUCGAUAAGGCACUUGAUGACUGUAUUGAUGAUGAUUUUCCAUCAAUUGGCUUAGGCUCUCUAUAACUAGUGAGGCCUACAUAUACUUCCAUGAUUAGUCAAAGUCUUUGCUCUAAAGAGAGAUUCAUUAUUUUGUCUAAAGAAAUACAACAAAUAUGUGUUAAGAGAUGAAAUUCCCAUCUAGGUACAAUAAUACUCAUAUCCAACCAUUUAUAGGUUCAAAGCAACUCUAACAUGAAGAAAGGAAACAAAAUAAAUUAACAAGCGGAAGCUAUAUAAUGAUUAUGCCUCAUCUCCAUGUACGCCCGACCUCAACUAAGCGAACCUGCAAGCUGGGCAUUUUUAAAACGAAAGGCCCAGGGCAAAACACUUAACAACGUUAGAGUGAGUGGACAAAAAUAAAUUAAUAAAAAUAUUUAUGCUUCCCCAUUUUAAUUUCCAAAGAAAAAAUACUGCAUGCGCCAGCUCAAAAGCGCUCAACUCAUAAACUGGCAAUUUCACGACUAGCUCCGGCUAGUCACCAACUACAAAUAAAAUGGAGCCUCUCAGGCUAAACUAUAUAUAAACAUAUAUUCGUAUGUAUUUACACUCGUCAGACUCCUUGUAUGAAUCCUAGAAACAAUUUAGAAAAAUAGAGAUUCAUAUAAGGCUACAACGCUGGGGUCUAACGCUCACGUUGCUCCAUAAUAAUGGUAUUUUUCCUCAUUAUGACCGAAGAGGACGGUGUAUUUAUAUACGUGUGGACUCCCUAUAUGAAAACCUAAAUAAACUAUAAAAGAAAGUAAUUUUCAUAUAGAGCUAUAACGCUCUAACACUCACGUCACGCCAUAAUGGUAUUUUACCUCAUUAUGACGGACCAAAACACGUAGGGCUAGCUAGCAUUUAUAUACAUACUAUACUCAUAAUAUCCAUAAACAUAUCCACCAAAAAUCUCAUUUUCGGGAUCGAUCUCUCCAGAGGAGGAAAAUUACCAAAUAUCCGAGAAAGAAAUAAAUCUCAGGAAAAGAAAUAAAAGAUCAACAAAUAAUUCAUCGCAUGCUUUUCAAUUAAAACAAAGGUCCACUCAUAACUCUAGGCAUAAACCUGACGAAAUCCAAAUCGCCACUCCAAUGACGUUUUCUCGAACCCUGGCACAAAUAUAUAAUUAAAAUUCCCAACUAAAAAUCCAAUAUUUAACAAAAUAGGCAAAAUUAAAUAUGAGCCGCAACCACGCUCAUCCUUGCCUAACUUCGCCUUUCCUAAAACGAAACGAUCCAACUUUAAUACCAUAAUCGGCAGCCGUAAUUACAACCUCCCCAGAACAACGACUUAAAUCCUACGGCCGGAUUCUACAUUAAUUAACCGCAAAAAAUACCAAACUUCGGAAAAUCACAAACUUAUUCAAAACUCAUCGGAAAAUUCCAUAAUUUACAUCAAUAUACUCCUCUUAAUAUUUCACAUUUAAAAACAUUAAAAUCUCCCAACCGGCGCCGGCGCCGGCCCCGCGGGCAGCGGCGGCCGGAGGCCGAUUCCGGCGACCUCCAAUGCCUACCAAAAUUUAAUAGUAGCUUCCUCUCAACCUACUCAACAACUUUCCUAACUAGCACAAACACAAAUUCCAAGUCUAGCUAGGGUAAUCGAACACAAACAUCUAAUGAGCCCUAGAGCUUCAACUUUGAAUUUCUCCUUACCUAGCUCAAGAGGGAGGGAGUCCUUUGGAGGGAUUGCUGCACGGGAGGAGGGCUUUCCAACAAGCCAAGCCGCUCCGGCUAUGGUGGCCGGAGGAGGGAGCUCCGACGAUGGAGGGCUACGACAGUCGGACUCUUCGGGCGAGCUUCCUCCCGAUCGGUGGCACUAGGGGUGCGGUCACCUACCUAGAAAUGAAGAGGAGAGGGUGGUGGUUCGAUGGGGACCAACUUGGUGGCCGGAGUUGGCCGGACGGCGGCAGGCAGUGGAGAAGAAUACCGGCGAUGGAAGAAGAAUCGGGGGAGAGAGGAGAGACAGUCGGGGAAAGAGAGAGAAAUUUAAAAUUUGGGCUUUCCAAACCGGUUCCCCAACCCACCAAUAUAACCCAAUUCCAAAAUUAGCACCCCCAAAAAUAAUACCCCAAUAAAAAUUACCUUUUACCAGCUAAAAGUUACAAUUUUUACCGCCGUCACAUUUUUCUCCUACGAAUAAUUCCUCCGAAAAUAUCGUCCCUCAAAACCCCUCUAGGGAUCAAUUAAACCAUAACUCAUUGACGGAGUCGGUAAAAUUCUUAUUAUAAUCAAGCUAGUAAAUAAGGUAAAAAUUUAAGGGUCGGGAUGUGACAAUGGUGGUCGGAGGAGGGAACUCCGGCGAAGGGGCAGCCGGUGUUUCUGACUGGUUUUCUCCUUUCCGGUAGUGCUACCGGCUCGGACACUAGGCCGGGAAGAGAGAGGAGACGGCUGGUGGCUGGUCGAACAUCGGCAACUUGUGGCAAAAAGUCCCGGCGAUAAUGUAACACCCUGACCCAGGUGUUAGAAGAAUAACCGAAUAAAAUAAAUAAGGAAAUCCUAAUUCGAAAAUGAGAUAAGAUCUCAUAAUCAGACAACACAACAAACAUUUUAAUCGCAUUUGGAACCUAAAUUUUAUUUUGUUAAUUUGCGGCUGCACCCAAAACUCGAUCGGGCUGCCUAAGUCGAUUGGGCUAUCUAAUUUGCGGCUGCACCGAAAACUCGAAAAUAAAAGAAGAAGAUGAAGAAGAAGAAGAAGAAAAAAAAAAAGUUUUUAAGUAGUUGUGUUUAUGGGUUGUCCAUUGGGAUUAAAGUGAGUGAAUUAGCGUUUGAAAGCAAAAGUCUAAUAUCUCUAUAAGAGAGAGUUGCUUCAUUGAUUUCUAUGGACUUUGUGUUCCCUUAUCCUUCAUUUCUAUUAGCCACUUGCCCUUAGCCCCAUUACAACCAAAUAAAAGACCUCUUGAUCUUGAAAGUUGUGAAGCUACCUAACGGAGAUGCGGUUGAAGAGCAAGCCUAUGGGGACCUAAUUUGCAAAAUUGUAUUCGGGUGAAACACAUUUAGCCCUAAAUACUUGAGCAGAAAUAUUUAGUGCAUCCUUGUGAGUUUAGCGGUUAAUCCAAGUUGAGUGUGUCGUACUUGCUUGUUAUGAAUUGGUAGACAUAUGGCUAGCACAUAAGCAUCUUUUACAUGUCGCACAUUAAUUGCCUUAUAAAUUUGUGAGACCUAUACAUAUGCUUAAUCAAUUCCUUGUCAUAAACAUAAUUUGGUUCUUUGAAGAUAUGGUUGGAAAGACUAGCAUUACAAUUCUCAUUUGUGUGUUUUAGGGAGUAGUUUUCGGAUUAGUUUUCAUUUAGUUUGCUUGAGGACAAGCAAAGUUCAAUUGUAGGGGUGUGAUUACUUGUAUUUUUAUACACUUAAUUACAUUCCAAACAUAUGAACUAAGCUAGUAUUCGAGCUAAUUACGAUGUAGUUAAUCCUAUUUUGUUUAUUUGUAGGAAAUAAACGGAGUAGCGGAGAUUGUUUUAAACAGAUACGAAAUUGGAGCAGAUAAUGAAGAAACGAAGAAAUUAAGGACGUCUGCCGAUUAGUAUUUGAUAUGAUCAAUUAAUGAUUUAUUGAUCAUUAGAUCAAUUAAACAUUGAAGUAAUCAUAUGCAGCCACAAUCACGUGCCAUCCACUUCUUUCUCACUCAUAACCAAUCAACAGGUGAUAUGUGGCACUUUUUCUCUCACCAUUUCUCAGCCUCUCACCCGUGAUAGAGAGGAGGCAAAACCCUUGAAUGAACUCUCAUUCAUUCUCUGGAGAAGGCAGCCGCACACAGAGGAGUAGAGAGAGAGACACACGAAGCAAAGUCCUUUCCCGUCACCAACACCAUUCAUCACCAUUUCAUCCCUUCAUCUCUUCUCUCUCUUCUCAUUUCACAAUUUAGUUAAUUUAUUUUGGGAAUGUGAAGGACUCACUCAAGACUUCAAUGCUUCUACGUCAUCAAGAGCACCUCCUCUUUAAUUGGGUAGUUGGGUGAAAGGCUUUCUUAGGUUCAUACUAGCUCAUAGCUUGAAGUGACCAAGCUAGCUCUCCCCCUCUCUUCCUUAUUGUCUAUUUCUUUAUCUUAUAUGCUAUUGACGAUGUAUUUGAUUAUGGGUAGAGAGUAGUUCAAUUUUGAGAGUUAGGGUUGUGAAGCCCUAAACUCAUUUUGUAUAAAUGUUGGUACUUUAAUUAUAAUAGAUGCAAUUUCCAUUGUGUAUGCUUUGAAAUCCUUAAUUAGAAGCAUGUUUCUAGGUUUUGUCACCCUUUGAGAUUAUGUUGUGAACAAUUUGAUGGAUAGAUUGAUAAAUUGACAAUUUAUUAGUCUUGUGCAUCUAGGAUUGGAAGUGUGGUAACCAUUAGCUAGCUUGAUUGUAGCUAAGCUUGCUUGGGUCUCUAUUAUCUUGCACUCUAGGCCUCAAAUUUGGAUGUUACGGCCUUAACCGGCGUAAUGCCCAUGUUAGAGAGUUGAUUGUGGACUUAACUGGCAUAAUCGAUACACCGAAAUGAUAAUUGGUCUAGUAACCUUAACCGGUAUUAGAUAUAGGAGUUGAUACAAUAGGAUAUGCAUUUGUGAAAUCGGUAUCGAUGUUUGCAUAUGAGUUAGUGUGGAUCACCCGACACUCCCAUGUUCCCAUAAUUUUCUAGUUCAUUAGUUAGUAGUUUAUUUUUCAUUUAGUUUUUUCGUCAAUUUAGUUAAUUCCCCAUUCAAUCUCCAUUUUUUAUUUCGACUCAUUGUAGAUAACCAUCACUAGGCUUCUAGUUUUGAUUAGGCUUUGGUGAGAACUAGAGCCGAGCAUUACUAAGGCUUGGUGCCUAGUUUAGCAUUUUCCUUAAUUUCUUUUUCUUUUCCUUUGUUUGCUUAGUGACUUUUGUUAUGAUAACUUGGCAUUUAUACUUUCCUAUCUUGACAACGAUACGUUCACUUGCGUGAAUUGUAUUUAAGUCAAUAGGGUAGGGAACUAGUGAGUAAUAGCAAAAGACCUAACUGCAUUGCCCUUAUAUAGUUAACACAGCCCCCUCCCCCUUAUGUGGGUUCCUAUGUGGACUGUAACACCUCGCGGGGUAGAAAGAGCUACAAUGGUUGUAUCCGCAUUGGAGACUGAGUAGUUUUCAAUAAGCGAAAGGUCAGUACCCGUGACCUAUGCGAAGUCUACCUGUGUAGCUAAACGCGCGUCACCUAGUUACUUAGUUGGCAAGUAACACGAAACCUUGUACAACUUUGGUAGCAGAAUCCUACUUAGAUUGUGGGAUGGUAUCCUUAUCAGUUAAUUACGAAGCACUAUAUAAAGAGGGUUCGGGGAUCAAAAUCGACACACAAUCAUCUCAUACUGACAACUACAAACCUCGAUCUAAUAGAAACCUGUCGCUAAAGCACUUCGCUUUUCGCUUUAGCAUUUCAGAGCCCUUUAAGGUCUCGCCUUGCCUAUUGUCCCAUUGGUUGCUUUGCUCGCUUACCGAGUAUCGAUCUCAAAUGAAUAGAAAGAUACUCGUAAUUCCUCGCCCGCGAGGUGACACCGGAGCCCGUCAUCGUUUGGUUAGAAGUCUACGUCAGCGCACCUCGACGCCCACAUCCCCAUUAAGCAUUAACUGCUCACAUCUCUCUCCCUGCUGAGGGUCGUGGCCAAAACAGACACGUUGAACUCAAGCUACAACCAACCCUUAGAGUCUCGGAGUCAUCAAGAGAACCAACAGCUUCCCUUCACGGAAUUGUGAUCCAUAUGAUGGUAGGUUUCUUUGAUCAAUUCCUAUCCUCCUACUAAUUAAUUUGGUUGCUGGUAAUCAAAAGUGAUCGAACUCCCCCCCCUCCCCCCCCCCCAAAAAAAAACCUUCCCUACCACUAUUGCAAGAAAAUAUCAGAAAAAUUCUGGUUUCUCCCAAAGUGUCCUAGACUUCUAGAGAGACACCUCCUUUUAUGAGUCGAUGAAAGAAAUAGAAUUGGAGAAGUCGGCCUGGUCCUCUCUAGAAACCUCUCCAAUAUAUUCUUGUUCGAGCUCUACACCGUCAUUCCAGACUAAAGAAAGGUCGAUGGUCUAGAAAGCUCUAAUGAUCUCUACCCCCCAGCUCCCGUUGAUAUCUAAUCAAGCAUAUUGAUUGCCUAGACAGAAAUAGGUUUUCAAUGACUGGGAUGAAGCGGUGGUAAUUUCCUUUCCAUUAGAUAAAAUCCUAAAAUUUCUUAAAUUUCGUAAUAAUUAGCUCUGGUAUCUGAUAUCUUCUACGGAAAUACUACAGACUUGUAACAUCGUGUAGUUCGCUAUCGAAUCCUUAAAUCGAGGAUCACCUUGGUGAGAAUUAUAAAAACAUUCACAAGCGUUUUAUUACCCACUAAGGUCCAAAAUUAUAUUUCGAUGAACCUCACUUCAACUUGUCAGGUAUUUCCUAGGCUCACACGAAAGAUAACACAAGAUCGACUAAUAAAUAAUUUAUCAAAUAGACAAAUAGCUAUAAUUAAUAACUUUUAUAAUAAUAUUAUCCGAUUUCCGAGGCUCACACAUAUAUAAAUAUUUAAUUAACUUUUAAAUUAAUUGUAAAACAAGUCAAUCAAAAAUUAAAAAUAAGCCAUGAGAUAUAUCUUAAAUAUAAGAAUAUGAAGAUAAGAAGCAACUCUUCUUACAGUUAGGAUAAUUAUGUUGCUUGAGUUCUAUUUGAGCCACCCAAGUUUGACACAAAAAAAACUUAAGAAUCCUAAAAUAUACAUUUUCUCUAUUUUCUCAAGUUGGGUUGUUUACACUACUAGAAGAAAGGCUUUAGCCGAUGAAAAUAAAAAAACCAGGCCGACGAAUUAUUUUUUCGUCGGCUAAAGUCCACGUUAGCCGACGAAAUUUUCUUUCGUCGACUAAUUUAAAUUUUCGUUGGCUAAAGAAUUUUUUUCAUCGGCAGGCUGACCAAAAAUUAAUAACGUACCAAUGAUGACAUCUGGAGAAGUACGACCCUCCUGCUGGGUCAUAGCAUGCAGUCUAGCGCGAGUCAUGGGACGUCCACGCUGACCACUUCCCCGCUGAGAGCCACCUCUGACCGAAGCACUGCCCUGGGCACCACUACUAGAGCCUCCAGCUGAAGACUGACCAACAGGCUGAGUAGGGGUGGGAGUGGUCCUCUGAACCAACAAUGGGCAAUCUCUCCUAAAGUGGUCCUGACCACCACACUCAAAGCACCCAGAAAACUGCUGCUGCUGCCCAUAUGAAAAAGUCUGGCUACCGGAUGACCCACCAUGGAAACUGCCACCUGAACCAUACUGCCCAGCCUGCUGCCUACCCAACUGGCUCCUAGCAGGUCUCCUGUGACGUCCUCUAACCCUGAACCGAGAAUGAGAACCUGAUCCCCCACUACUGCCACUACCAGCUGAUGAACCUGAAGCGGAUGAUGAAGCAGCUUUCUUGGAUGGACCCUGACUGGGACCACCGAAAUCUCGUGGCCGAGCACUAUAAAUCCCCAUAGACUCAAUGGCCAUGGCUGCAUGAACAGNNNNNNNNNNNNNNNNNNNNCAAACCACAUAUCAACAUGAUCGUAUCAACGAGUACUACCUAACCACCAACACAAACACCACAACCACCUACGGACGCACCGCUACGCGCUGCCCCUAGCGACUGCGCGUGGGCCCCACGCGCCACCCCACUAACCUUCGAAAACAGACAAACUUCCAACACCAAAAGUAUAGCUCAGAGCAAGGAGAGCAACUUCCAUACCUGAGGUCGAAACCAAAACGGCCGGGAAGUCGCCGGAAACUCGCCGGGAAUGUCGAAUUUCACCACAAACCCGACCGGUGCCGUUGUCUGGGUCGGCCGGAGUUGGCCGGAAAAGUCGGGUCGGGUUGCCGGGUCCGGGUCGGGUCGGCUGGGAAACUCUGACAGUGAAGGUGUCGAGAGAGAGAGAAAGAAAAAGGAGGAGGAAAGGUUUCCGGAAAAAAUGAAAGGAAACUCUAAACUUUUGAUAUUUAACCCAAAAUUUUCGUAAAGCCACGAACUUCCGCUGACCAUAACUUCCACAUACGAAGUCCGUUUUACGUGUGCCACGUGUCUACGAACUCGUAUCGUCGUGCUCUACAGCUUCCGUGCAGGAAGUUUUCCGAGAAACCCAACAAAUUAAAAAGUCAACUCUUGACCCUUCAAAAUAAAGCAUUUUCACGGAAAUAAAAACUCGACUACUUCUAGUCCACUCACUAAACCACAAAACCAUACAACUCUUACUUAAAUAAAUUCCAAAAUAAAAUUAGAAACUAACAAUAAAUUUCCGGGGUAUUACAACUCACCUUGAUGAGGGCUACAAGAUGAGCCAAAGAUUCCGACCUAUGGUGGCCGGAGGUGGGAUUUCUGGCAAAAAGCUUCCCGGCGUCUCCGGCGAGUUUUCUCCUCUUCCGGCGGGCUAACGACUCGGGGGCUAGGCCGGGGAGAGAGAGGAGGUGAUGGGGGUCAAAACUGGGGUGGGCUGGCAGCUGGUGGCUGGCCGGACGGUGGCAGACCACGCUGGAAAAGUCCAGCAGAAAAGAGAGCUAGGAAACUCACGGGAGAAAAGAGAGAGAAGGAAGAGGAGAAGAGAGAAAAUGAGGGGGGGUCUUGGGCUGCUCCUCAGCUGGCCCAGCAAUAACCCAACUGAAAAAAAUUUACACCAACUACAUUUUUUUACCACAUUUUUACCAUCUCCAAAAAUUACUCUUUUAAAUCAUAACUUUUUCAUGCUGAUUCCGAUUUUAACACAUAGCAUGUCUACGAACUCGUAAUAACGUCCUCUACGACUUUUAUGAAGAAAUUUUUCCCAAAUUCCAAACACAAGAAAAAGUCAACUCUAGGGUCCUUAAGUGAUAAACGGUUACUUAACACGGUAAAAGACCAAAAUAAUACCAAAGUAAAUAACCGUAAAAUAACUUAAGAACCGGGGUGUGACACCUUGUACGAAAGACUCCUUUCGCACUGGGCAGAACAAGAAGCCUAUGACAAGGUCGCAACUAUGGAAUAUGUAGACGAAUUAGUGGAUUAUACCGAUACCAAGGAAGAAGUCAUUCAAUUAGCUCCCGCUGCCUUGGACGAUACACCACCUCAAGUCCGCGACCCCAUUUCACAAGUUGAAGUAGGGACUACAAAAAAGCCCUUACUUAUUUCCAUUAGUGCUAAGCUGGCGAAAAACGAAAAGGAAGACCUUCUUGCCCUGUUACGAGAGUACAAGGAUUGCUUCGCCGAAAAGUACGAGGAUAUGUCUGGCUUAUCCCCAGAUUUGGUCUGCCACCGGUUGCAACUCAUCCAAACCGACGUCCGGUGCGGCAAGACGGCCGAUUCAUGUGAACUGAGACUCAUAUCGUAGUCAAAGAAGAGAUCGACAACAUGCACCGAGCACGUAUCAUUCGCGUGGUGAAGUAUAACGAGUGGUUAUCCAACGUUGUCCCCGUUCGCAUGAAAAAUGGCAAGAUGCGCGUCUGUGUUGAUUACCGUGACCUCAACAACGCAACGCCCAAGGAUAUAUACCCCAUGCCUAUCGCUGACCUCCUCAUUGACGCAGCCGUGGGGCAUGAAGUGUUGUCCUUCAUGGACGGAACGGCCGGAUACCACUAGAUCCCCGUUGCUGAAGAAGAUCGACACGAGACGGCUUUCCGCUGUCCCGAUUUUGCCGGCGCGUUCGAGUAUGUUGUCAUGC